Molecule: transfer RNA, 56 nt
Filed under: Dipodomys ordii (Ord's kangaroo rat)
Lineage: Eukaryota; Metazoa; Chordata; Mammalia; Rodentia; Heteromyidae
Rfam family: tRNA
About the family: Transfer RNA (tRNA) molecules are approximately 80 nucleotides in length. Their secondary structure includes four short double-helical elements and three loops (D, anti-codon, and T loops).
Source: Rfam by way of RNAcentral
GGCUCAGUGGUAGAGCACUUGCCUUGCAUGUAUGAGGCCCUGGGUUCGAUUCUCAG